Molecule: ribosomal RNA, 433 nt
Filed under: uncultured bacterium
Lineage: Bacteria
Description: partial 16S ribosomal RNA
Rfam family: Bacterial small subunit ribosomal RNA
Source: RNAcentral
AACGAACGCUGGCGGCAUGCCUAACACAUGCAAGUCGAACGAGACCUUCGGGUCUAGUGGCGCACGGGUGCGUAACGCGUAGGAACCUGCCCUUAGGUUCGGAAUAACUCCCCGAAAGGGGUGCUAAUACCGGAUAAUGUCUUCGGACCAAAGAUUUAUCGCCUUUGGAUGGGCCCGCGUUGGAUUAGCUAGUUGGUAGGGUAAAAGCCUACCAAGGCGACGAUCCAUAGCUGGUCUGAGAGGAUGAUCAGCCACACUGGGACUGAGACACGGCCCAGACUCCUACGGGAGGCAGCAGUGGGGAAUAUUGGACAAUGGGCGAAAGCCUGAUCCAGCAAUGCCGCGUGAGUGAUGAAGGCCUUAGGGUUGUAAAGCUCUUCUACCCGGGAUGAUAAUGACAGUACCGGGAGAAUAAGCUCCGGCUAACUCCGUG